CCUACGGGAGGCAGCAGUGGGGAAUCUUGGACAAUGGGCGCAAGCCUGAUCCAGCCAYGCCGCGUGAGUGAAGAAGKCCCUAGGGUUGUAAAGMUCUUUUGCCAGGGACGAUAAUGACGGUACCUGGAGAAUAAGCCCCGGCUAACUUCGUGCCAGCAGCCGCGGUAAU
Molecule: ribosomal RNA, 169 nt
Filed under: uncultured bacterium
Lineage: Bacteria
Description: partial 16S rRNA
Rfam family: Bacterial small subunit ribosomal RNA
Source: RNAcentral